UACGAAGGGGGCUAGCGUUGUUCGGAAUUACUGGGCGUAAAGCGCGCGCAGGCGGUCUUCCAAGUCAGUGGUGAAAGCCUGGAGCUCAACUCCAGAACUGCCAUUGAAACUGUUAGACUUGAGUACGAGAGAGGUGAGUGGAAUUCCCAGUGUAGAGGUGAAAUUCGUAGAUAUUGGGAAGAACACCGGUGGCGAGGGCGGCUCACUGGCUCGUAACUGACGCUCAGGCGCGACAGCGUGGGGAUCAAACAGG
This 253-nucleotide ribosomal RNA is filed under the name uncultured bacterium. RNAcentral describes it as "partial 16S ribosomal RNA". It matches the Rfam family "Bacterial small subunit ribosomal RNA", at positions 524 to 776 of the family's 1533-position model. The record is from RNAcentral.